UACGAAGGGGGCUAGCGUUGUUCGGAAUUACUGGGCGUAAAGCGCGCGCAGGCGGCCAUCCAAGUCAGUUGUGAAAGCCCGGAGCUCAACUCCGGAACUGCCAUUGAAACUGGUUGGCUAGAGUACGGGAGAGGUGAGUGGAAUUCCCAGUGUAGAGGUGAAAUGCGUAGAUAUUGGGAAGAACACCGGUGGCGAAGGCGGCUCACUGGAUCGUUACUGACGCUGAGGCGCGACAGCGAGGGGAGCAAACAGG
RNAcentral lists this ribosomal RNA (253 nucleotides) under uncultured bacterium. RNAcentral describes it as "partial 16S ribosomal RNA". It matches the Rfam family "Bacterial small subunit ribosomal RNA", at positions 524 to 776 of the family's 1533-position model. The record is from RNAcentral.